RNAcentral lists this non-coding RNA (26 nucleotides) under Homo sapiens (human). Lineage: Eukaryota; Metazoa; Chordata; Mammalia; Primates; Hominidae. The record is from RNAcentral.
UGGUGGCGGGCGCCUGUGGUCCCAGC